GGGAACCCGGUGCGAAUCCGGGACGGUCCCGCCACUGUGACCGGACGCCAGGUCCGGCGAGUCAGACC
This 68-nucleotide non-coding RNA is filed under the name Pseudonocardia thermophila. Lineage: Bacteria; Bacillati; Actinomycetota; Actinomycetes; Pseudonocardiales; Pseudonocardiaceae. The record is from RNAcentral.